GAUGAACGCUGGCGGCGUGCCUAAUACAUGCAAGUCGAGCGAACAGACGAGGAGCUUGCUCCUCUGACGUUAGCGGCGGACGGGUGAGUAACACGUGGAUAACCUACCUAUAAGACUGGGAUAACUUCGGGAAACCGGAGCUAAUACCGGAUAAUAUAUUGAACCGCAUGGUUCAAUAGUGAAAGACGGUUUUGCUGUCACUUAUAGAUGGAUCCGCGCCGCAUCAGCUAGUUGGUAAGGUAACGGCUUACCAAGGCAACGAUGCGUAGCCGACCUGAGAGGGUGAUCGGCCACACUGGAACUGAGACACGGUCCAGACUCCUACGGGAGGCAGCAGUAGGGAAUCUUCCGCAAUGGGCGAAAGCCUGACGGAGCAACGCCGCGUGAGUGAUGAAGGUCUUCGGAUCGUAAAACUCUGUUAUUAGGGAAGAACAAAUGUGUAAGUAACUAUGCACGUCUUGACGGUACCUAAGCAGAAAGCCACGGCUAACUACGU
This 496-nucleotide ribosomal RNA is filed under the name uncultured bacterium. RNAcentral describes it as "partial 16S ribosomal RNA". It matches the Rfam family "Bacterial small subunit ribosomal RNA", at positions 28 to 506 of the family's 1533-position model. The record is from RNAcentral.